CCGGUUUUCCACUAGGCGGAAUUUUGCGCGCGGAGCGGAAUCUUUCUCCACUCCGUGUACAAAAUUCCGCCUAGUGGAAAACCGGCU
Paramuricea clavata is the source of this 87-nucleotide non-coding RNA. The record is from the annotation of a GenBank genome assembly. NCBI's taxonomy places the organism in Eukaryota, Metazoa, Cnidaria, Anthozoa, Malacalcyonacea, Plexauridae.